Molecule: RNase P RNA, 380 nt
Filed under: Gemmatimonadales bacterium
Lineage: Bacteria; Pseudomonadati; Gemmatimonadota; Gemmatimonadia; Gemmatimonadales
Description: RNase P RNA component class A
Rfam family: Bacterial RNase P class A
About the family: Ribonuclease P (RNase P) is a ubiquitous endoribonuclease, found in archaea, bacteria and eukarya as well as chloroplasts and mitochondria. Its best characterised activity is the generation of mature 5'-ends of tRNAs by cleaving the 5'-leader elements of precursor-tRNAs.
Source: RNAcentral
AGGGUCGUGCGUGAUGGUCGCGGCGUUGGUCCUCUCACGAGGCGGGCGCCGAGGAAAGUCCGAGCUCCAUCGGGUAGGCUGCCAGGUAACGCCUGGGCGCCGAGAGGCGACGGUAAGGGCCACAGAAAAGAUACCGCCCCUCAGGGGGUAAGGGUGAAAAGGUGGGGUAAGAGCCCACCGCGCCGCUGGUAACAGCGGUGGCACGGUAACCCCCAGCCGGAGCAAGACCAAGUAAGCGGCAAGGUGUGACCCACACCGUCCAGGUCUCCUGGGUAGCCGCGGGUAGGUCGCUCGAGGUGGCCGGUGACGGCCAUCCCAGAUAGAUGACCAUCCGUCCGCUUGCGGACGAACAGAACUCGGCUUACGGCACGACCUCUCGC